CAGAAUUCAAAUUUAACGGAAAUUAUAAAGCGGUGAGAAAACCGAAGAGUUAUAAUUAAAUAUUUAAUCAAAUAUAGCACCCAGAAACGACUCCGAAGCUUAUCUUUAGAGAUUUGAUGGAGGAGCCCAAUACCCAGAUGCUGUCGAAGAGCUUCAUGCUCUCGUGCAUGCGGUUCUGUGAGAGCACAGAGGAACAGAUCAGAGAAAAGCAGCACAGCGCGCAGGAGAGGACACGAUGCGACCGUGAAGCCGGGUCUUACUAUCUCCGCGUCCUCGGCUAACACCAGGUCGUAGGCGCUCAUGGCCACGCAGAAGAUGAUGGCGGUGACGCCCUCGAAGCAGUGGAUCCAUUUCUUCCUCUCCGAGCGCUGGCCUCCCACAUCGAACAUCCUGUGUAAAAGGAAAUGUUCACUUUGUGCUUUCCGGUGCCAAUAUACAAAAUAAAUCAACUGAAAGUGUCACGUA
Long non-coding RNA from Trichomycterus rosablanca, 465 nucleotides. RefSeq lists it as uncharacterized. Lineage: Eukaryota; Metazoa; Chordata; Actinopteri; Siluriformes; Trichomycteridae. The transcript is spliced from 3 exons. The record is from RefSeq and is a predicted model, not a curated record.